GACAGAGGUCUCAAGCGUUGUUCGGAUUCACUGGGCGUAAAGGGCGCGCAGGCGGCCGGGCCCGUCCGGCGUGAAAGCCCGCAGCUUAACUGCGGAAGGGCGUCGGAUACCACCCGGCUCGAGGGUUGGAAGGGGGACUGGAAUUCUCGGUGUAGCGGUGAAAUGCAUAGAGAUCGAGAAGAACACCAGUAGCGAAGGCGAGUCCCUGGACAAUUCCUGACGCUGAGGCGCGAAAGCCGGGGGAG
RNAcentral lists this ribosomal RNA (245 nucleotides) under uncultured bacterium. Its description in RNAcentral is "partial 16S ribosomal RNA". It matches the Rfam family "Bacterial small subunit ribosomal RNA", at positions 524 to 768 of the family's 1533-position model. The record is from RNAcentral.